Marmota flaviventris (yellow-bellied marmot) is the source of this 731-nucleotide non-coding RNA. Lineage: Eukaryota; Metazoa; Chordata; Mammalia; Rodentia; Sciuridae. The record is from RefSeq and is a predicted model, not a curated record.
CCUCCUGCCUCAGCCUCCCAGGCCACUGAGAUUACAGGCACGUGCCACCACACCUGGCAGAAACAGCCUUUUGAUGCUACAGCAUGUAAGGCCUGCAGGAGUUCAGAGGGGCUGAUGGCGAAGUGAGCCAUCUUCACUGCCUGAACUCCCCAUCUUCCCAAGGUGAACCUCAGCACCCAGGAAGCACCAGCCCUGAGCCCUAGCACCCUUCUGCUUCCUGUCUGUAUUUGAGCACUCCAGCCCCAUUGUGUAAGUGGAAUCCACUGUUUGUCCUUUUAAGAAUGUAUUUCACUCAGCAGUGUCCUCUAGUGCACCUAUGUUGUACCAUGUGAUGGGAUUUCCGCCCUUCUCAAAGGCAGAAUGCUGCUCCAGCAUGCCUACACCUACACACACUAUGGCUUGUCACUCACCCCUCUGUGGGCACUGGGUGGCUCCACCUCCUGGCUGUUUUGCGUAAUGCAGCUGUGACAGGCUUAUGGUUUUUGUUUUUUUACUAUACUGUGGAUUGAAGCCAGGGCCUCACACACACUAAGCCAGCCUUCUGCUGCUGGGUUACUUCCUCCACCUAGUGUUUUGUUUUUAUGAUGGGUGCAAUUACAUUGAGCUUACUGGAUGAUGGAAUGACGCAGAGGAUCUGGGAUGCAGGAGAUGGUACAGUAUUGUCGCAAGAGGGCAAAAUUGCGACGUAUGCAGUCGAGGGGAGAAAUAAAAAUGUCCAUGUGCUUCUGCUC